ACUUCGUUCCCUUCGGGCUAUUUACAAGGUGCUGCAUGGUUGUCGUCAGCUCGUGCCGUGAGGUGUCGGUUAGGUCCCAUAACGAGCGCAACCCUUACUGUUAGUUGCCAGCGGGUCAAGCCGGGAACUCUAACGGGACUGCCACCGUAAGGUGAGAGGAAGGUGGGGAUGACGUCAAAUCAGCACGGCCCUUAUGUCCAGGGCUACACACGUGUUACAAUGGUCGGUACAAAGGGCAGCUACACCGCGAGGUGAUGCUAAUCUCUAAAGCCGGUCUCAGUUCGGAUCGAAGUCUGCAACCCGACUUCGUGAAGUUGGAUUCGCUAGUAAUCGCGCAUCAGCCAUGGCGCGGUGAAUACGUUCCCGGGCCUU
RNAcentral lists this ribosomal RNA (372 nucleotides) under uncultured Sphingobacteriales bacterium. RNAcentral's name for it is "bacterial SSU rRNA". It matches the Rfam family "Bacterial small subunit ribosomal RNA", at positions 1008 to 1382 of the family's 1533-position model. The record is from RNAcentral. Lineage: Bacteria; Pseudomonadati; Bacteroidota; Sphingobacteriia; Sphingobacteriales.